Molecule: ribosomal RNA, 253 nt
Filed under: uncultured bacterium
Lineage: Bacteria
Description: partial 16S ribosomal RNA
Rfam family: Bacterial small subunit ribosomal RNA
Source: RNAcentral
UACGAAGGGGGCUAGCGUUGCUCGGAAUCACUGGGCGUAAAGGGUGCGUAGGCGGGUCUUUAAGUCAGGGGUGAAAUCCUGGAGCUCAACUCCAGAACUGCCUUUGAUACUGAAGAUCUUGAGUUCGGGAGAGGUGAGUGGAACUGCGAGUGUAGAGGUGAAAUUCGUAGAUAUUCGCAAGGACACCAGUGGCGAAGGCGGCUCACUGGCCCGAUACUGACGCUGAGGCACGAAAGCGUGGGGAGCAAACAGG